RNAcentral lists this ribosomal RNA (483 nucleotides) under Triticum aestivum (bread wheat). RNAcentral describes it as "partial small subunit ribosomal RNA". Lineage: Eukaryota; Viridiplantae; Streptophyta; Magnoliopsida; Poales; Poaceae. The record is from RNAcentral.
AUGAUCGAAUGUUGUUCCUGGCCAAUCUGGUUCGCUCUACAAAAGCUCAGAGGGGCUUCAGGAGGGCUCUGGCUUAUGUGGAAUGACGAUCUUAAGGUUUCUGUUCGUAGUUCUUCCUUCCACUUUAUCUUACCGGAUGUAGUUCAUCUAGCCUCGGGGGUUCACUUUUGUUUGGUUUGUAUAUAUGGUGACCCCUACCAUAGGCAGACUAGUGACAUUUGGAAUCAGAUCUCCACUUUUGUGUAUGAUAACUUUGGCAAACCCAUGAUCUGUAUGGGUGAUCUUAACGAUAUUUUGUAUGAUACGGAUGGUUGCAAUGGUACUGUUAAUUAUUAUCGUUUGUCUGCUUUUCGUGCUAUGAUUAAAAAUUGUGGCCUCUUUGACAUUGGUUUUAGUGGUCCUGCUUACACUUGGCGUAAUAGGCAGCACACGAUUAGGCCUAUUUACAGACGUUUAGAUCGUUGUCUUGUUAAUGCAGAUUGG